RNAcentral lists this ribosomal RNA (447 nucleotides) under Chasmoptera huttii. RNAcentral describes it as "partial 16S ribosomal RNA". It matches the Rfam family "Archaeal large subunit ribosomal RNA", at positions 1906 to 2596 of the family's 2987-position model. The record is from RNAcentral. Lineage: Eukaryota; Metazoa; Arthropoda; Insecta; Neuroptera; Nemopteridae.
CAUGUCUUUUUGAAAAUAAUUCAAAGUCUAAUCUGCCCACUGAAUUUUUGAAGGGCCGCAGUAAUUUGACUGUGCAAAGGUAGCAUAAUCAUUUGUCUUUUAAAUGGAGGCUUGUAUGAAUGAUUGGACGAGGUGCAAACUGUCUCAGUGUUAAAAUGAUAAGAAUUUAGCUUUUUAGUAAAAAGGCUAAAAUUUUUUUGGAGGACAAGAAGACCCUAUAGAUCUUUAUAUUAAUUAUUAGUUAUUUAAUUAGGAUUGAAAUAAUUUAAUUAAUAAAUUUAAUAUUUUGUUGGGGUGACAGGAAAAUUGAAUUAACUUUUUUUAAUAAAAUAAACAUGAAUUAAUGAAUACUUGAUCCAUUUAUGAUGAUUAUAAGAACAAGUUACCUUAGGGAUAACAGCGUAAUUUUAUUGGAGAGUUCUAAUCGAUGAUAGAGUUUGCGACCUC